This 75-nucleotide transfer RNA is filed under the name bacterium ADurb.Bin236. Its description in RNAcentral is "tRNA-Thr". It matches the Rfam family "tRNA". From Rfam's summary of the family: Transfer RNA (tRNA) molecules are approximately 80 nucleotides in length. Their secondary structure includes four short double-helical elements and three loops (D, anti-codon, and T loops). The record is from RNAcentral.
GCCAACGUAGCUCAGUAGGUUAGAGCGCAUCCUUGGUAAGGAUGAGGUCACCGGUUCGACUCCGGUCGUUGGCUC